Molecule: ribosomal RNA, 253 nt
Filed under: uncultured bacterium
Lineage: Bacteria
Description: partial 16S ribosomal RNA
Rfam family: Bacterial small subunit ribosomal RNA
Source: RNAcentral
UACGAAGGGGACUAGCGUUGUUCGGAAUCACUGGGCGUAAAGCGCACGUAGGCGGAUUUGUAAGUCAGGGGUGAAAUCCCGGGGCUCAACCUCGGAACUGCCUUUGAUACUGCGGAUCUCGAGUCCGAUAGAGGUGGGUGGAAUUCCUAGUGUAGAGGUGAAAUUCGUAGAUAUUAGGAAGAACACCGGUGGCGAAGGUGGCCCACUGGAUCGGUACUGACGCUGAGGUGCGAAAGCGUGGGGAGCAAACAGG